UACGUAGGGUGCAAGCGUUAAUCGGAAUUACUGGGCGUAAAGCGUGCGCAGGCGGCUAUGCAAGACAGAUGUGAAAUCCCCGGGCUCAACCUGGGAAUGGCAUUUGGGACUGCAAGGCUGGAGUGCGGCAGAGGAGACUGGAAUUCCUGGUGUAGCAGUGAAAUGCGUAGAUAUCAGGAGGAAUACCGAUGGCGAAGGCAGGUCUCUGGGCUGACACUGACGCUCAUGCACGAAAGCGUGGGGAGCAAACAGG
RNAcentral lists this ribosomal RNA (253 nucleotides) under uncultured bacterium. RNAcentral describes it as "partial 16S ribosomal RNA". It matches the Rfam family "Bacterial small subunit ribosomal RNA", at positions 524 to 776 of the family's 1533-position model. The record is from RNAcentral.